CAGAAGAUUCUUCUUAAGCAAUACUUCUCAACCUUGGAGAGCUUUGAAAAUGCCUUGCCCCUGGGCCUCCCCCGAGACAGGAGGCCGGGGACUCGGCAUUUUCUAAAGCUCCUAGUUAAUUUGCAUGGGCAGCAGGCCUAAGAGCUGUGCCUGGAAAGAUUAGGGCCCAACACGGAAGAGUGAGUGGACCUUUGGAACGCAGUCAAGCCUUUACUGUACUAGAAUCCGUAGGAUGGUGCCCGACGCGCUGACGGCGAGCUGUGCCGAUGAGAAAAUGGAUGCAUGGGAACUCCUCUUGGCAGGCAGGAGAAUGGGGAGCGGAACAGGGCAUCACCCAGAAUCAGCCCCCAACAAAGUCUCGGAGCAGAAAACCAGGGGUACAGAGCCUGGGUUUCCGCGUUGGCGACGACUGCUUGUGGACGCUCCAAGUGUGUGAGGCCCCUCUUGCUGGCUGGCCUUCCCCAAGAAGGACCACGCUGAAAUGUCCUUCUGGAACUUUCUGAGUCCUCCCCCUGGCCCCGAACCAGCUUCCCCUUCAUCCUCCACGACUCUUCUCCCGCUGCCUGGUGACAGCGUGGGGCCCUGGGAAGGUCACCAACUCUGCAGACAGACACAUGGACUCGAGGCCCAGAGCCAGCACUUAACGAGUGAUCUUGGGCAAGGCGUCCCCUCUCUGAGCUUGCUCAGUCUCCUCAUCGUAAAAUGCAGAAUUUAGGUUUAAACCCGCCAGUGGGACUGCUCUCUCCCCUGACCACUUACCUCACCCGUGUCCUGGCCCCCCUUCCCGAGGAGCAUCGUCUGCCUGAUUCACGCCACCACUCCCACCCACACUGAGAACCCCCUGACGAUAAGAUCUGUGGCAUCUCUUCACCCCGAGGACAGUGUGGAGCCCCAGAAAAAGCAGGUGUUUGGCACCCAGUUCUCUCGGCAAGACUACAAGCAUGCAUGCAGUGGGACCUCAGUGAGCCACGGCUGGCUGCGUGGACGGUGCUCCCUGCUCGUCAGCUGAGCCAGCUGGUGCAGAUUGCCCUGACCUGUGGGGUACGUGAAUUCCGAGAGCCGGCCUGGCCCCUGCGCACUCCCUUCUCGAAGUCUCCCCCGACCUCAUUAAACAAUGGGCUCCUCUGUGCUUCCGGCCAACGUGGCUCCACCACCGUCCUUAGCUGUGGCGUCUUAGUUCUCGUUCAUGGGAUGGUUGCAGAGCACCGGGAACGUGCCAGGCCCUGCCCGAGAUGUGAGAAGGAGACUAAGACUCAGGCCCCUGCCUUAAGGAACCCCUGGUUCAAGGAGGCGACAGGAACAGACCCCACGUGACCUCACAUCCCCGCUGGCUUUGCAGUUCAAGCACUUUGAGCAGUUUCUCCAGUCACAUCGUCCCUCAGCGCCAUUGGAACCUGGAGCCUGAUGCUCACUUGCUGACCGAGGUUUCCACUGAGCAGCAGGACCGAGGACCAGGUCUGGCUGGGAGUCAUCACAGCCAGGAAUUGAAGACAGGAGACGGGCUGAGGAGAGGCCCGACCACCGAGAGCAUCGUUCAGAGAAAGGGGCGGGCUGAGGUCAGGGGACCCCCACAGCCUCUCCCUGGCAGCUGGGGGCAGAGGCAGAGCUCACGGCUCUACUCCCUGGGUGAGGAAAGCCCGAGGGACCUGGAGUCACCCACCAGCCAGCCUCCAGCCAUCUGUCUCCUGGGGAACAGGAGCCUGCGGCAGCAGCUGCCUUGGCUCGUUGUCCACCAGAUCCAUUCUAGCUCCCUCUCGAGCUGUAGAAUUGAAGGUGGGCGCCUAGCGGCUCAGCCAGACUAUACUUCCCGGCCUUCUUUGCGGUUAAGUCACGUUCUCGCCAGCGGGAUGGCAGCAGAAGUGAAGUGUGGUCCAUCUGACACGGAGCCUUUCAGACCACGCCUCACCUCCUCCUUGACCUCUUUUCCCUCCCCGCUGUCUACACCCAGCACAGGGCUGAAACCCAGCUUCGUCCAGGAAGGUGUUUACAACGCCCCAGGACUGGUGGAGAAACAUGACAGAGGGGAUCGGUCUGAGUCUCCAAGCGACCAAGUGAGGAGAUCCAUGCACCCAAAGCGACUACAAAACAGACACGGAAAUUUCUUUGUCCUUUAUGGUACGGGAUGUUGGGGGGAGAUGGAUGGCAGAGAGUCUCUUUGUUACAGCAGCUUAGCUUCCCCCAGCUACCACAAAGACCCGCCAAUAGAUACGACAGAAGAGAAUAAGAUGCCAGGAGGUCGCUUUUGAAUCCAGGACCACUGGUUUCCCUUCUAGAAACAGUUAACAUCUCCUGUUGUCAGUUCACAUUCAGUACUUUUCACCGAACCUCCACCAUACGUCCCGCAUGAGAGAAGGGCUAGGGAUACAA
Long non-coding RNA from Equus caballus (horse), 2367 nucleotides. Lineage: Eukaryota; Metazoa; Chordata; Mammalia; Perissodactyla; Equidae. The record is from Ensembl.